GAGGAGCAGGCGGUAGAGGGCCUCCCCAACGACCUUGUCUGGGAGUUCCUGUCGAGGGUGCCGUACCAGUCGCUGUGCCGCUCAAAGUGUGUGUCGACGGCGUGGCUCGCACUGUGUUCCGACCCCGCCGUCCGUCGGAGAUCGCCGCAGACGCUCUCCGGUUUCUUUGGCCUCUCCCACAGCGGCAGCAACCGUUUCGUCAACCUUUCCGGCAGAGGCCGGCCGCUGGUCGACCCUUCUCUCCCUUACCUGCACGGCUUCGAAAGCGUAAUGCUCCUAAACUGCUGCAGCGGCAUCCUUCUCUGCCACGGUAUGCGAGCAGACGGCGCGCAAUACAUUGUGUGCAACCCUGCGACCGAGGAGAUCUGGGCCGUGAUACCCGCGCCUGAUAGGCAUGAGACACCACACCCUCUUGUUUACCGCACCAUCUGCUUGUGUUUCGACCCGGUCGUCCCCUCUCGCUUCGCGGUGUUUGUAAUCAUUGAUAAUGAUCGCGACAUUACCAUUAUGGAGGUCUACUCGUCGGAUACCGGAGAAUGGACUUCCAUGUCGAGCCCAUGGGGUCACCGAAUUGUGUUGUAUAACUAUGAACCAGGGUACUUCUUCUUAAAUGGUACUCUGCAUUCCGAUGCCUAUGAUUCUCGCGUGGAGACAUUUGACUCGAAUGGUAAAUCAAUAAAUAUGGUGGUUACGGUGGACACGGGCGGGAAUACUUGGAGGACAACUCCACAACCGCCUAUAGCUCAAUUUACUUCCAUUGGGUUCUCUCAGGGACGCUUACAUGGUAUUGAGAUGGAAGAUGGUGGUGGUUACCGGAUAUCAGUCUGGAUUCUCGAGGAUUAUGCUAGUGGGCAAUGGACCUUAAAGCACACAACCAGUAUGCAGGAGCUACUAGGAAGGCCUUGUAUAAAUAACAAAGAGUGCUACGCCUUUGUUGCACUCCAUCCAGAACGUAACCUGAUUUUUCUUAAUGGUGGGGUGGAACCGGAACAUACACUUAUGUCGUAUGAUAUGGAUACCCAGAAGUUGCAUGUUAUCUGCAAUCUUGAAGAUUAUGAGAUGCAAGAUUUUCGACCUUACAUUCCCUGCUUUGUGGAA
Molecule: ribosomal RNA, 1098 nt
Filed under: Triticum aestivum (bread wheat)
Lineage: Eukaryota; Viridiplantae; Streptophyta; Magnoliopsida; Poales; Poaceae
Description: partial small subunit ribosomal RNA
Source: RNAcentral